RNAcentral lists this long non-coding RNA (1000 nucleotides) under Ananas comosus (pineapple). Its description in RNAcentral is "long non-coding RNA (ACOM_LNC022460)". The record is from RNAcentral. Lineage: Eukaryota; Viridiplantae; Streptophyta; Magnoliopsida; Poales; Bromeliaceae.
AACCCUAUUCUUUUCUCUAUUCUUUCUUUCUUUCUUUUUAUGAAAGAAAAGGCAUGCACAUGUCUUCUCUCCUCCCCUCAUUCAUCACUAUUUCCUCUCCCCUUCCCUUCUCCUCUUUCCUCUCAUUCCUUUCAUUCUCUUUUUUUUUUCUUUUUUUUUUCUCCUUUUCCUUUUUCUUAUUCUUCCUCCUUCUCUAGCUGAUCUUUCUUCUUCCAUUCUUUUUUCUCUCUCUGUCUUAUUUUUUUGCUCUCCCUCUCCCCCUUUCUACAUCUUCAUCUUCAUCUUCUCUAUUGCUUCAUCCUAUCUCUCUUUUUUCUUUUCCUCUCUUCUUUCCACCACCUCUAUCUCUUCCCUUGCAGAGCUCAACCUCUCCAUUAAUUCCCGAGCUUUAAUAAGACUCAUAGAUCGGCGACCCCACGUCAUGGAGUUGGAAAUGAAGAUUUCACCCUAUUCUUUGGCUUUGAAGCUUGAAACCUACGUAUAACCCUUUGCUUGUUGUUUUUCUCUUCUCUCUUGAUGAGUUUUGGUGCCAUUUGGGCUUUUGUUUGAUGAGUUUAAUUCUUUGUUUAUGGUGUUCUGAAUAUGGUAUGGUUGACCGAGCGAUUUUGCAGUUAACCAGGGUAGGAAUAGUGGAUUGGAUUCGGUAACUGGUGGUCUACUCUAGUUUCGGUCAACUUUGUAAGGGUGGUCAACUGAGCUUGGACCCUAUAUAUGUUGACCGCUGAACACCUAGAGACUCUAGAUAGCAUCUACUUCGACUUCUACCGGAAGUAUAUACACCGACAAAUAGUGAAUAGGAUAUUAUCUCAUUGAGUCAACAAUUAUAAUACUUUCUUGAUUGUAGUGCUUACUCUCCCAUGAUCGUUAUGAAAAUAUGAACUUGUUGCAUCCAGACAUAAUAGUUAUAUUUACUUGUUAUUGACUGAGUAAGAUUUUAUGAUUCGUAAUAAUAUAUUAGUGUGGCUUUGAUUAUGUCAAGUCUGACCUUUAUCUGGUAUGG